GACGAACGCUGGCGGCGUGCUUAACACAUGCAAGUCGAACGGUGAAGCGCCUUCCUUUUUGGUGGGUGUGGAUGAGUGGCGAACGGGUGAGUAACACGUGAGUAACCUGCCCCCUUCUUCUGGAUAACCGCAUGAAAGUGUGGCUAAUACGGGAUAUUCUGGGUCUGUCGCAUGAUGGGUCUGGGAAAGAUAUUGUUUCGGUGGUGGAUGGGCUCGCGGCCUAUCAGCUUGUUGGUGGGGUGAUGGCCUACCAAGGCGGUGACGGGUAGCCGGCCUGGGAGGGUGGACGGUCACACUGGGACUGAGACACGGCCCAGACUCCUACGGGAGGCAGCAGUGGGGAAUAUGGCACAAUGGGCGCAAGCCUGAUGCAGCGACGCCGCGUGAGGGAUGGAGGCCUUCGGGUUGUGAACCUCUUUCGCCAGUGAAGCAGGCCUGCCUCGUUUGUGGGUGGGUUGACGGUAGCUGGAGAAGAAGCGCCGGCUAACUACGUG
RNAcentral lists this ribosomal RNA (494 nucleotides) under uncultured bacterium. Its description in RNAcentral is "partial 16S ribosomal RNA". It matches the Rfam family "Bacterial small subunit ribosomal RNA", at positions 28 to 507 of the family's 1533-position model. The record is from RNAcentral.